This 3891-nucleotide ribosomal RNA is filed under the name Debaryomyces psychrophilus. RNAcentral describes it as "[Candida] psychrophila large subunit ribosomal RNA". The stretch from base 25 to 2219 matches the Rfam family "Bacterial large subunit ribosomal RNA". Lineage: Eukaryota; Fungi; Ascomycota; Pichiomycetes; Serinales; Debaryomycetaceae. The record is from RNAcentral.
UAUAAGGUGAUAUAUUGAAAAAAGGUAUAUGAAAAUAAUAUUAUUUUAAGGAUCUAAAACUAAUACUUUAAAUGAUAAAAAGGGAUAAACCCAAUCAAAUCAUGAAAAUGAAGGAUAAAAAUCAAGUGGAAUGAAACAUCUAAGUAGCUUGAAAGUAACCAACAGGGGCAGUAUAUGUAGCGGUGAGUGAAAGUACUGUAGUCUUUAAGUAUCAUCAAGAGGUGAGAAUAAAGUAGAUUCUACUACUAAGACAAUAAAAGAGUAUUAAGAAAAAAGUACCGAAAGGGAAAAAGAGUAAAUAGAAUAAUAGAGAGCAGUCAUAGUAUGGCGUACCUCUUGUAUAAUGGGCCAGUGAGUUAUAUAUAUUAGCGUAGUUAUUUAUAAAUAAAUUGAGUAAAUCAAUCUUAAGUUAAUGUAUAUAGGCCCGAAAGCAGACGAUUUACACAUCUCCAAGACCCGAUUCAGCAAAUGCAGAAUCGGGGUCUGAAUAGGUGGAUGUAGCAAUAUUCUCUAAAGAGGGGUGUGUAGAAGUGACAGACAAAUCUGGUUUGCCGAUAGCUGGUUUUCUGCGAAAUAUAUAUAAGUAUAGCCUUUACGAAGGAAACACAUAAAUGUGUUUCCUAUGUAUUAACUGGUACAGCACUUAGAUCAUUUUGGGGGAUUAUAAUAUAAUUUUAUCAAAAGAUCUAAACCUCGGAACAGUAAACCAUAAAGUAAGGAGUCAGACUUAUUGCGAUAAGGUAGUAGGUCGAAAAGGAAACAACCUAGACUAUUAAAUGUAUGUCCCAAAAAUAUAUGCCUCGGGUAAGCCGAGGUGUACAUCCUCCUUUAGGAGGAUAUAUUAAGUGAACAAAAUCUAUUUUUUAUAGAUAGACAAUCAGUCAGCGGGUUUGACAAUAAUCAACUGUUAAGGGACAUGUAACAAUGUACUGAUGUGACAUAAAAAAUAGAGAAAAUAUACGGGUCUAAAUAUAUUACAGAAUAAUAGAUAAGAAGAAAUAAUUUCUUCUGAUGGUAGCAGAAUAUAUGAUAUAUAAUCAUAAAGAGAUUGCUGGCUUGAGUAACGAUAGGUAGUAUAAGACUACCCUCCAAUUCAUAAGGUUUUACUAUAAACUAACGGUCCCUAAGAUAAUAACAGAAAUGUUAAAUUGAUGGGAGAUAGAACAUGAAAAGAUAUUGAACCGUACUGUAGACCGACACAGGUAUGAUAAUAGGAGAAUGAGACAACUACUGUGAAUGAACUCGGCAAAUUAGCAUAAAGCUUUUAGUCGUGCGACUGUUUACCAAAAACAUAGCUUACUGCGUACUAGUAAUAGUAAGUAUAGUAAGUGAUAUCUGCCCGGUGUAUGCCUAAUAUAAUAAUUAUAUGAAAGUAUAAUUUUUGAAAAGGUGUGUUAACGGCGGUCUUAUUGUGAGGAUCCGAAGGUAGCGAAAUUCAUUGACGCAUAAUUGGUGUCCUGCAUGAAUGAAUACACGAUGCGACAACUGUAUCCAUAGUAGACUCAGUGAAAUAGCAUUCGCGGUGAAGAUGCCGUGUACCCGUAGAUUGACAAAAAGACCCUAUGCAGCUUUACUAUAUCUUUAUAUUGAAUACGACAACUAUUUAUUUCAGUAGAUUAGGUUUUUAGUAAUAAAAGAAAUGAGAUACCUAUAUAUUUAGUAAUAGAUUCUAAUCUAAUUUUAUAAUAUAAUUUAUAUUAUAUACUCUUAUUUACACGUAUAACGUGUAAGACCUCUCUUUAAGAGAGGUAAGAGAAAGAGACAGUGUAAAGAGGUUAGUUUCGAUGGGGCGUCGACAUCAGCGAAAGCAUCUGAUGUGUCUAAAAAUUAAAUAUUUUAUUAAUUUAAUGCGUCAUUAGGCGCGGACAUUAUAUAAUAGCAAGAAAACGUACAAAAGUUCUAUAUAGCAAAUAGAAUAGUUUUAUGCCCGCCGGGCAUAUUACCAUAUGCAAGGAUAACAACAUAAUUGUGCGAUGAUAAUAACACUAACAAGUGGAAUUAGUACUUAAGUAGAGUGUAGUGAACAGGCAUAAACAUAAGAUAUGGAUGUCGAUAACGGAUUAAAGUUACGCUAGGGAUAAAUGUUUGUCCCACUUAUUUAUAUAUAUAUAUAUAUUAAGUUAAAAAUUAGGUGAAUUGCAUAGAUCUCUUCAUACUUAUAUUUAUGCCCGCCAUCGGCGGGUAUAAAAUUUCCUCCCCGCUUCGCGGGGCUUAUAUAAGUUUAAGACAAUAUGCAGCGAAGCUAUUACUAGUAAGUAUAUUUAUAUAUAAGGUAAUAGAACGUUCAACGACUAGAAGAUGAGUAUACUAACAAUAAUUCUUCCACGAGCGCCUAACAUAUAAGAAUGUAUUUUAUAUUUAAAAGGAGAAGUAAUGUUUAAAAAAGAUUUAUUAGGAUGUUCACCAAAUAGAAAAAUAUUAAAAGAAUAUAAAGCACAAUUUACUAAAUUAACUAAACUACAAAAAGAUGUAGCUAUAGGUUUAAUUUUAGGUGAUGCGUAUCUUUAUACUAGAAAUAAUAGUAAAUCUCAUGCAAUGAAAUUUGAAUGAGGUUAUAAAUCUAAAGAAUACAUUGAUCAUGUUUAUUCAAUAUAUGAAGAUUGAAUAUUAAAACCUCCAUAUUUAAUAACAAGAAUUAAUAAAAAUAAUAAUGAAGUUAAAACUUGACGUAUGGAAACAUUGACAGGUAUUCCUUUUAAUAUUUUAGGUGAAUUAUUUAUUAUAAAUAAAAAGAAACAUAUAAAAAUUAAUCUUAUUAAAGAUCAUCUUACAGCUAUAGGUUUAGCUCAUUGAGAUAUGGAUGAUGGAAAUAGAUGUUAUUAUAAAGGACCUAUAUUUAAUAAAGAUAUGAGUGUAGUAAUUAAUACACAAGGUUUUGAAAUAGAAGAAGUUAAAAUUUUAAUAAAAGAAUUAAAUGAAAAGUUUAAUUUAAAUAGUUAUUUAUCUUUUAAUAAAAAGAAACCUAUAAUUUAUAUUCCAAAUAAAGAUUAUGAUAAAUUUUAUAAUAUUAUAAAUCCAUUUAUGCCUCACUUUUGGUGAGGUAUCCCCACGCUACGCGUGGGGCUUAUAGAUUCAAUGAGAUAUAAAUUACCUUUUAAAAAAUAAAAUAUAUAUUCAAGUAUGAUGACAUAGUCUGAACUAUAUAGAAAUAUAUAGAAACAUUAAUUAAAAAAGAUGUGAUAACAUUAUUGAACAGAGUAAUACCGCGUGAGAGUUGAUAUCGUCAGCGGUGUUUGCUACCUCGAUUAAAUAAAUGAUAGUUGAGGUUAAAUAGGGUUAAUUGCAAGGAACUCUAAGGAUAUUUUAUCUAUGACAACUUGCAGCGAAGUAUUAUCUAUAUACAUAUAAAUAUAUGAAGGAUAAUAAACGUUCAACGACUAGUAGGUGAGUAAUAUAACAAUAAACCUACCACGAAAGCCCUAAAGUUAUAUAAUGUUAAAAACAUUUUCCUCCCGGCUGCGCCGGAAUUAAAAUAUUUUAACUACAAAAUUAUAACUUAAGACAUAGUCUGAACUAUAGUGAAAAUUAUAGAAGUUAAUAUAAAGAGAUUAACGAUAACAAUAUUGGUCGUCUAGACUCGUCCUCCUGGUCGCAGCAACUAGGUAGGGUAGGACUGUUCGUCCUCUAAGGAGUUACUUGAGAUGGGUUAAUUACGACGUGAGUCAGUAAUGAUUUUAUCAUCUAUGGGUUUUUUUCUUAUUCGUUGCCUCGAGUGUACGAAAGGAUAACGAGGUGUUUUCCUAUGGUUUUUUGUAUAUAUAUAUAUAUAAAUAUAUAUAUACAUAUUAGCUAAGAAAAUUGUGGAUACAUAUUGAAUGCAUCUCAAAUAUUAAACCCUACGAAUAAGUUUAAUCAUACUAUAUUAGUAUGUAAUAGUUUUAUUAUAUUUAU